AGUGAACGCUGGCGGUAGGCCUAACACAUGCAAGUCGAACGGCAACACAGUAAGAGCUUGCUCUUACGGGUGGCGAGUGGCGGACGGGUGAGGAAUACAUCGGAAUCUACUUUUUCGUGGGGGAUAACGUAGGGAAACUUACGCUAAUACCGCAUACGGCCUACGGGUGAAAGCAGGGGAUCUUCGGACCUUGCGCGAUUGAAUGAGCCGAUGUCGGAUUAGCUAGUUGGCGGGGUAAAGGCCCACCAAGGCGACGAUCCGUAGCUGGUCUGAGAGGAUGAUCAGCCACACUGGAACUGAGACACGGUCCAGACUCCUACGGGAGGCAGCAGUGGGGAAUAUUGGACAAUGGGCGCAAGCCUGAUCCAGCCAUACCGCGUGGGUGAAGAAGGCCUUCGGGUUGUAAAGCCCUUUUGUUGGGAAAGAAAAGCAGCAGGUUAAUACCCCGCUGUUCUGACGGUACCCAAAGAAUAAGCACCGGCUAACUUCGUG
RNAcentral lists this ribosomal RNA (492 nucleotides) under uncultured bacterium. Its description in RNAcentral is "partial 16S ribosomal RNA". It matches the Rfam family "Bacterial small subunit ribosomal RNA", at positions 29 to 507 of the family's 1533-position model. The record is from RNAcentral.